Actinomortierella wolfii is the source of this 71-nucleotide non-coding RNA. The record is from the annotation of a GenBank genome assembly. Lineage: Eukaryota; Fungi; Mortierellomycota; Mortierellomycetes; Mortierellales; Mortierellaceae.
GCAUGCAUAGUCUAGUGGUAAGAUUGCUCUCUCCCAAGGAGCAGACCCGGGUUCGAUUCCCGGUGCACGCA